RNAcentral lists this ribosomal RNA (504 nucleotides) under Spirothelphusa verticalis. Its description in RNAcentral is "partial large subunit ribosomal RNA". It matches the Rfam family "Archaeal large subunit ribosomal RNA", at positions 1950 to 2680 of the family's 2987-position model. The record is from RNAcentral. Lineage: Eukaryota; Metazoa; Arthropoda; Malacostraca; Decapoda; Pseudothelphusidae.
CCUGCCCACUGAUAUAAAUUUAAUGGCCGCGGUAUUAUGACCGUGCAAAGGUAGCAUAAUCAUUAGUCUUUUAAUUUGAGGCUUGUAUGAAUGGUUGAACAAAAGAGAGACUGUCUUCUUUAAUAAAAAUUGAAUUUAACUUUUAAGUGAAAGGGCUUAAAUAUUUCAAAGGGACGAUAAGACCCUAUAAAGCUUUAUAGAGGAUAAAGAUUAGAUUGAAGUUUCUAUUAAAAAUUAAGGUUUAUAUUUUAUUAGGUUGGGGCAACGAAGAUAUAAUUAUAAAUAACUGUUUUUUAUUAGAACAAAUAUGUUUGUUUUAAGUUUAAGUGAUCCUUAUUUAAAGAUUGAAGAUUAAGUUACUUUAGGGAUAACAGCGUAAUUUUUUUUGAGAGUUCCUAUCGAAAAAAGAGUUUGCGACCUCGAUGUUGAAUUAAAAUUUCUUUAUAGUGCAGUUAUUAUAUAAGAGGGUCUGUUCGACCUUUAAUUUUUUACGUGAUCUGAGUU